RNAcentral lists this transfer RNA (16 nucleotides) under Oreopanax xalapensis. RNAcentral describes it as "partial tRNA-His". Lineage: Eukaryota; Viridiplantae; Streptophyta; Magnoliopsida; Apiales; Araliaceae. The record is from RNAcentral.
AAUAAUAGUAGGGGGC